This 497-nucleotide ribosomal RNA is filed under the name uncultured bacterium. RNAcentral's name for it is "partial 16S ribosomal RNA". It matches the Rfam family "Bacterial small subunit ribosomal RNA", at positions 28 to 507 of the family's 1533-position model. The record is from RNAcentral.
GAUGAACGCUGGCGGCGUGCCUAAUACAUGCAAGUCGAGCGAACGGACGAGAAGCUUGCUUCUCUGAUGUUAGCGACGGACGGGUGAGUAACACGUGGAUAACCUACCUAUAAGACUGGGAUAACUUCGGGAAACCGUAGCUAAUACCGGAUAAUAUUUUGAACCGCAUGGUUCAAAAGUGAAAGACGGUCUUGCUGUCACUUAUAGAUGGAUCCGCGCUGCAUUAGCUAGUUGGUAAGGUAACGGCUUACCAAGGCAACGAUGCAUAGCCGACCUGAGAGGGUGAUCGGCCACACGGGAACUGAGACACGGUCCAGACUCCUACGGGAGGCAGCAGUAGGGAAUCUUACGCAAUGGGCGAAAGCCUGACGGAGCAACGCCGCGUGAGUGAUGAAGGUCUUCGGAUCGUAAAACUCUGUUAUUAGUGAAGAACAUAUGUGUAAGUAACUGUGCACAUCUUGACGGUACCUAAUCAGAAAGCCACGGCUAACUACGUG